This 447-nucleotide ribosomal RNA is filed under the name uncultured bacterium. RNAcentral describes it as "SSU rRNA". It matches the Rfam family "Bacterial small subunit ribosomal RNA", at positions 26 to 517 of the family's 1533-position model. The record is from RNAcentral.
AGAGCGAACGCUGGCGGCAUGCUUAACACAUGCAAGUCGCACGGGCACUUCGGUGUCAGUGGCGGACGGGUGAGUAACGCGUAGGUAUCUAUCCUUGGGUGGGGGACAACGGUUGGAAACGACUGCUAAUACCGCAUGAUAACUGAGGUUUAAAGGCGCAAGUCGCCUGAGGAGGAGCCUGCGUACGAUUAGCUAGUUGGUGGGGUAAAGGCCUACCAAGGCGACGAUCGUUAGCUGGUCUGAGAGGAUGAUCAGCCACAUUGGGACUGAGACACGGCCCAAACUCCUACGGGAGGCAGCAGUGGGGAAUAUUGGACAAUGGGCGAAAGCCUGAUCCAGCAAUGCCGCGUGUGUGAAGAAGGUCUUCGGAUUGUAAAGCACUUUCGACAGGGACGAUGAUGACGGUACCUGUAGAGGAAGCCCCGGCUAACUUCGUGCCAGCAGCCG